Molecule: ribosomal RNA, 497 nt
Filed under: uncultured bacterium
Lineage: Bacteria
Description: partial 16S ribosomal RNA
Rfam family: Bacterial small subunit ribosomal RNA
Source: RNAcentral
GAUGAACGCUGGCGGCGUGCCUAAUACAUGCAAGUCGAGUGAACGGACGAGAAGCUUGCUUCUCUGAUGUUAGCGGCGGACGGGUGAGUAACACGUGGAUAACCUACCUAUAAGACUGGGAUAACUUCGGGAAACCGGAGCUAAUACCGGAUAAUAUUUUGAACCGCAUGGUUCAAAAGUGAAAGACGGUCUUGCUGUCACUUAUAGAUGGAUCCGCGCUGCAUUAGCUAGUUGGUAAGGUAACGGCUUACCAAGGCAACGAUGCAUAGCCGACCUGAGAGGGUGAUCGGCCACACUGGAACUGUGACACGGUCCAGACUCCUACGGGAGGCAGCAGUAGGGAAUCUUCCGCAAUGGGCGAAAGCCUGACGGAGCAACGCCGCGUGAGUGAUGAAGGUCUUCGGAUCGUAAAACUCUGUUAUUAGGGAAGAACAUAUGUGUAAGUAACUGUGCACAUCUUGACGGUACCUAAUCAGAAAGCCACGGCUAACUACGUG